CAGUCGCCACGGUAAUACGAAGGGGGCUAGCGUUGCUCGGAAUUACCGGGCGUAAAGGGAGCGUAGGCGGACAUUUAAGUCAGGGGUGAAAUCCCAGAGCUCAACUCUGGAACUGCCUUUGAUACUGGGUGUCUUGAGUGUGAUAGAGGUAUGUGGAACUCCGAGUGUAGAGGUGAAAUUCGUAGAUAUUCGGAAGAACACCAGUGGCGAAGGCGACAUACUGGAUCAUUACUGACGCUGAGGCUCGAAAGCGUGGGGAGCAAACAGGAUUAGAUACCCCUGUAGUCCCUGUCUCUUAUAC
Molecule: ribosomal RNA, 301 nt
Filed under: uncultured bacterium
Lineage: Bacteria
Description: partial 16S ribosomal RNA
Rfam family: Bacterial small subunit ribosomal RNA
Source: RNAcentral